This 401-nucleotide ribosomal RNA is filed under the name uncultured bacterium. RNAcentral's name for it is "bacterial SSU rRNA". It matches the Rfam family "Bacterial small subunit ribosomal RNA", at positions 358 to 774 of the family's 1533-position model. The record is from RNAcentral.
GGAAUAUUGGGCAAUGGAGGAAACUCUGACCCAGCAACGCCGCGUGAAGGCAGAAGGUCUUCGGAUUGUAAACUUCUGUUAUAGGGGAAAAAAGAAUGAUGGUACCCUAUGAGCAAGCCACGGCAAACUAUGUGCCAGCAGCCGCGGUAAUACAUAGGUGGCAAGCGUUGUCCGGAAUAACUGGGCGUAAAGAGAGCGUAGGCGGUGAAUCAAGUUGAUUGUGAAAGCCCGUGGCUUAACCACGGAACUGCAGUCAAAACUGGUUGACUAGAGUUCGGAAGAGGAAGGUGGAAUUCCUAGUGUAGCGGUGGAAUGCGUAGAUAUUAGGAGGAACAUCAGAGGCGAAGGCGGCCUUCUGGGACGAAACUGACGCUGAGGCUCGAAAGUAUGGGGAGCAAACA